AUGGGUCGAACUAGUAUUUCCUUCAUUGUUCAUACUGGUUGUACAACUGGUGGAAGCUCUAGGAAAUCUGGUGGGGAAAGGAUUUGUUCAUCGAUUUAUCUUUUAGACAGGGAUUCUCUGAAAUUUAUCGAUUUGGAGGAGUCAUUGCUUAUACAUGGAUAUCAAAAAGGAGAUGGUGUAUACUACUUGAAGCCUUCUUAUGUCCCUCCACAAGGUCUUGUACAGAUUCUAAAUGAUGAACAAAUCAAGAUGAUGUUGGAUGAUCAUAAGACGGAAACAGAGUGCUCACUGUACUUUUUUGCAAGGCCUCGGGAAUUGGUGACUGAUAAUGGAAGCACAUCAAGGUUUGUAAGCCCAAGUAGUAUCCCAUUAAUUGGACAUCAUAAUAGUGUCCCAGAUGAGCCCAAUGAUGACACAAUAGAUUUCAAUGACGAAGCACCUAUCUAUGUGCACAGAUCAAGAGGAAUUGAAGAUAUAAUUUUUGAUGAGUCCACCCUACGGCGUCCACACAUGCAAGUUGGCAUGUUGUUCAGUAAUGUUGAUCUUUUUAGAGCUGCUUUGAAGAAUAUGAUCAUCAACAUGGGGAGGGAGGUGUUCAAGGGCAAGAAUGAUAGGAAUCAAGUUUCUGUCAAGUGUAAGGCAGAUAACUGUCCUUGGUACAUAUAUGCUUCAAAAUUGCCUGGUGAAGACACCUUUAAAAUAAAG
RNAcentral lists this long non-coding RNA (705 nucleotides) under Oryza sativa Indica Group (long-grained rice). RNAcentral describes it as "lncRNA OsLiXu_04g0008970". The record is from RNAcentral. Lineage: Eukaryota; Viridiplantae; Streptophyta; Magnoliopsida; Poales; Poaceae.